This 389-nucleotide RNase P RNA is filed under the name Spirochaetaceae bacterium. Its description in RNAcentral is "RNase P RNA component class A". It matches the Rfam family "Bacterial RNase P class A". Rfam says of the family: Ribonuclease P (RNase P) is a ubiquitous endoribonuclease, found in archaea, bacteria and eukarya as well as chloroplasts and mitochondria. The record is from RNAcentral. Lineage: Bacteria; Pseudomonadati; Spirochaetota; Spirochaetia; Spirochaetales; Spirochaetaceae.
AGCGAUGAACCGCCGCCGCGGCGUCACGGCUUUGCCGCGAUGCUGAGGAAAGUCCGGGCUCCGCAGGGCAUGAUGCCGGCUAACGGCCGGGGGAUCCGUCAGCGCGGAUUCACAGACAGCGCAACAGAAAGUAUACCGCCGCGCCGCCGAACGGCACGGUAAGGGUGAAAUGGCGGGGUAAGAGCCCACCUCGGGACCGGCAACGGUUCCGGCACGGCAAGCCUCAUCAGGAGCAAAGCUAAACAGCGGCCGGGUUGCCCGCCCGAAGGUCGCGGGUAGGCUGCAUGGAAGACGCCGGUGACGGCGGCUCAAGAUAGAUGGCGGCGGCCUUUCACCGGUACGUCCGGUUUUGAAAGGCACAGAAUCCGGCUUACGGUUCAUCGCUUUUU